RNAcentral lists this transfer RNA (77 nucleotides) under Labilithrix sp. Its description in RNAcentral is "tRNA-Thr". The record is from RNAcentral. Lineage: Bacteria; Pseudomonadati; Myxococcota; Polyangiales; Labilitrichaceae.
GCCGCCCACGCCCAGACAGCGGGGCACCUCACUGGUAACGAGGAACGAGGAGGGUGCAAGUCCCUCGGGUGGCUCCA